This 253-nucleotide ribosomal RNA is filed under the name uncultured bacterium. Its description in RNAcentral is "partial 16S ribosomal RNA". It matches the Rfam family "Bacterial small subunit ribosomal RNA", at positions 524 to 776 of the family's 1533-position model. The record is from RNAcentral.
UACGUAGGGUGCAAGCGUUGUCCGGAAUUAUUGGGCGUAAAGAGCUCGUAGGCGGUCUGUCGCGUCGGCUGUGAAAUCCCGGAGCUCAACUCCGGGCCUGCAGUCGAUACGGGCAGACUGGAGUUCGGCAGGGGAGACUGGAAUUCCUGGUGUAGCGGUGAAAUGCGCAGAUAUCAGGAGGAACACCGGUGGCGAAGGCGGGUCUCUGGGCCGUUACUGACGCUGAGGAGCGAAAGCGUGGGGAGCGAACAGG